GACGAACGCUGGCGGCGUGCCUAAUACAUGCAAGUAGAACGCUGAAGGAGGAGCUUGCUUCUCUGGAUGAGUUGCGAACGGGUGAGUAACGCGUAGGUAACCUGCCUGGUAGCGGGGGAUAACUAUUGGAAACGAUAGCUAAUACCGCAUAAUAGUAGAUGUUGCAUGACAUUUGCUUAAAAGGUGCAAUUGCAUCACUACCAGAUGGACCUGCGUUGUAUUAGCUAGUUGGUGAGGUAACGGCUCACCAAGGCGACGAUACAUAGCCGACCUGAGAGGGUGAUCGGCCACCCUGGGACUGGGACACGGCCCAGACUCCUACGGGAGGCAGCAGUAGGGAAUCUUCGGCAAUGGACGGAAGUCUGACCGAGCAACGCCGCGGGAGUGAAGAAGGGUUUCGGAUCGUAAAGCUCUGUUGUAAGAGAAGAACGAGUGUGAGAGUGGAAAGUUCACACUGUGACGGUAUCUUACCAGAAAGGGACGGCUAACUACGUG
This 495-nucleotide ribosomal RNA is filed under the name uncultured bacterium. RNAcentral describes it as "partial 16S ribosomal RNA". It matches the Rfam family "Bacterial small subunit ribosomal RNA", at positions 28 to 507 of the family's 1533-position model. The record is from RNAcentral.